RNAcentral lists this ribosomal RNA (301 nucleotides) under uncultured Ferroglobus sp. Its description in RNAcentral is "bacterial SSU rRNA". It matches the Rfam family "Bacterial small subunit ribosomal RNA", at positions 494 to 795 of the family's 1533-position model. The record is from RNAcentral. Lineage: Archaea; Methanobacteriati; Methanobacteriota; Archaeoglobi; Archaeoglobales; Archaeoglobaceae.
CGGCGUGAGUCCGUGCCAGAGGGAGGGGUAAGACGGGGGGGGCAAACGUGGGUCGGAAUCGUGGUGGGUAAAGCGCACGUAGGUGGGCCGGAAAGUCGGGUGUGAAAUGCCGGGGCUGAACGGAGGAAGUGCAAACGAAACUACCGGACUUGAGUACUGAAGAGGGUCGCGGAAUUCCCGGUGUAGAGGUGAAAUUCGUAGAUAUCGGGAGGAACACCAGUGGCGAAGGCGGCGACCUGGGCAGAUACUGACACUGAUGUGCGAAAGCGUGGGGAGCAAACAGGAUUAGAUACCCUUAGUC